This 442-nucleotide ribosomal RNA is filed under the name uncultured marine bacterium. Its description in RNAcentral is "bacterial SSU rRNA". It matches the Rfam family "Bacterial small subunit ribosomal RNA", at positions 361 to 805 of the family's 1533-position model. The record is from RNAcentral.
AAUUUGGUUAAUGGGCGAACCCUGAACCUGCCAAUCCGGGUGUAGGAGGAAUACCAAAAGCGUUGUAAACUAAUAUUAUACAAGAAGAAACCUCAAUAAGUUUAUGGAGCUCACCCUAUCGUAAGAAUAAGCACCGGGUAACUCCAUGCCAGCAGCGGCGGUAAUACGGAGGCUGCACGCGUUUUCAUUAUUUAUUAGGUUUGAAGAGGGGGUAGGGUGAUGAUUAAGUCAGUGGUGUAAUCGUACAGCGUAAUUGUAGAACGGCCAGUGAUACUGGUCAUCUUGAAUUUAGUUGGGGUAGGGGGAUUGUGUAGUUUAGCGGUGAAAGAUUAGAUAUUACACAGAACUCGGAUUGGGAAGGGGCUUAUUAUGAUAUAAUUGACGGUGAGGCACAAAAGCGGGGGGAGCGAACAAAAUUAGAUACCUUGCUCGUUCACUACAA